AAGUGAGGUUCCAGUUCCUGAGAACACAGCUGUCUCAGGACGGGAAAUUUUCAGCCACAUUUGGAGGCGAUGAGAUUACCCAUACAGAAGUGAGAAUUUCCUGGAGCAAAGCUUACCGGGGAAGAACCAGAACCACUCUCAGCUGACUUGUCUUUGGCAAAAUGGUAGUGAGAUGUCCUCCCAGACAAGUGGAAGACUGUUCCCAGACCAGGAGCUUUGGGUGUCAUGCCUAAGUCAUUAACACCAAGAUUAUACCUGACCCUGCCAAGGUCUGUAAAUCACGCCGAGGCUGACUUAUCCGCCGUGGGAGGCAGCCAGAAUUGCUGCAUUUAGAAAGCCUGCUGGCUAGGCAGUGCCCAGCAAAUCCCUCUGCUCGACAGCAGGGAAGGCAGGGCUGUGUCCCAUGGGCCGCGGUGCAAGGCGGCGGUAGGAGGGGCUGUGGCAUCCCUUGGCGUGCGGCCAGCAGCCCCUGCCGGCACCUCCGCCUGAAGUUUGCCCACAGCACAAGCGAUUGCUGAGAUCCAUCACAUGUAGACUUAAGAGUUCAAAGGAUACCCGUGGGGGAGAGCUUCUUGGGAGGCGGGGCACCGUGUGCCAGCUGCCAGUGGCAAAGGUUGAAGUUCCGAUGGGGAAAUUUUUGUUCAGCACAUGAGAUAAUUUUCUGUGAUAAGUUAUGCUUAGGUCGGCUCAGCGAGAACAUCCUGCUAUUGACGGGAGUUGUGUGGCAAGCAAAUUUCCUGGGCGUCUGCUUUUUUUAUAUAUAUUUUUUUAUUUAUUUUUUUUUAAACUGUGGAUCUAUGUACAGCUAUUGACUUUUACAGCUUUGCAAAUUGAUAUGCAAGAGGUGCACAGGACGAGGUGAUAAAAAGUUGAAACCUGGCGACGGAGAGGAUGUUCAUGUCUGACCAUGAUAUGAACGCAGGAUGUCCCAGGGGGCUGGCUCAGGGAAGCACAGAGCACAGGGUGAUGAAUGAAGCCUCCAAAGCUUGACCCCUAAAAAGAAUAGCAAGAAAUACAUUAUUUGACAUUUUAAGUGGACUGACAGAUUUCUGCAAUGAGGUGACCUGCUCAGUGGAUGAAGACAGAGCAGUGGACACUGCUUUAUCCUGGAACAUUUCAAGGUAAUAAAGGCAUUUGACAUUAUUUCCUUUAAGAACCCUCAUAAAUAAGCUGUCAAUAUAUACUUUAGGCAAAAGGACAGGAAGGUGGACUGAAAACUGUCUGAGUGACCAGAUGCAGAGUGCUGUGGUCAAUGGCAGUUGAGGACAAGUCCCUAGCAGUGCACACAAGGGCUCAGUGUUUGGUGCCGGAGCGCCCCGUAACCUCUUCAUUAAUGAUUGGGAUGACGGGGCAGAAUGCAACUUUGCAGAUGAGACAAAGUUGGGAGGAGAGGCAGGUACCACAGAAGGUUGUGUGGCCACCCAGAGGGACCCUGACAGGCUGGAGAAAUGGACAGGUAAGGAUCUCAUGUACUUCAAUAAAAAUAAAAAACAAAGUGUUGUAACUAGGGAGGAUCAACCCCAAGCACCAGUACAGGCUGGGAGCUGAUCAGCUGGAUCACCCUGGAGGUUCUAAUGGGCCUGGAGGUUCUGAUGCAUGAGCAGAGAAGGGCCUGGAGGUUCUGAUAUAUGAGCAGCUGAUUACCAGCCAGUGAUGUGAUCUUCAUUGCAGCAACUGGCCCUUGCCGCAAAGAUGGUCAGUCAGCGGCACCUUGGGCAGCAUGAUGAGGAGAGUUGCCAGCAGGUCAAGGACAGUGGUCCUUGCCCUCUGCUCAGCACUGGUGAGGCCACAGCUGGAGUUCUGGGUCCAGCUCUGGGCUCCCCAGUACAGGAAAGAUACAAAUGUACUGCAGGGAGGUCCGGCUAAUGGCCCUAAAGAUCACUAAUGCAUCUGAGUUUCUGAGGUGGGAGGAGAGGCUCAGAGAGCUCAGUCUGGUGAAGAGAAAGGGCAUCUUACAUAUGUAUGUCAAUACCUGAUGUGAAGGAAUAAAGAUGAGACAGACAGGCCUCUUCAGUGAUUCUCAGUGCCAGCACAAGAGGCAGCUGACACAAAUUAAAUCACAAAGAAUUCCUGAAAACAAAAAAAAAAAAAAACCAACAUUUUUUACAGUGAUGGCAGUCAAAUACUGGCACAUGUUGCCCAGAAAGGUUGUGGAGUCUCCCUCCUUGAAAAUAUUUAAAAGCCAUCUGGACAGGGCCUUGGGCAAUCUGGUGUAGGUGUCCCUGCUAGAGCAAGGGGGUUGGACAAGGUGACCUCCAGAGGUCCUUUCCAGCAUCAGCCUUUCUGUGAUUCUGUGAGUAAUUCAGAUACUGCACAGAGCACAUUCUUCCUACUGCUCAAUGAGAAAACAGCAAAUGGCUCCACUGCAAUUCCAUUUUCUGACUUUGAUGAACGGAAAUAUGUUACGCAUCAUUAACAACAUGCCAGCAUAUUAAAACCAUAUUAUGCUUGUAAAAUAAAGAGCAUUUUUUUCAUCCAUUGCCAUCAAAUUUAUUUCUGAGUUAAUCUGAAGAAUAAAUAAGUCCACAUGGAUCUCCCAGUUAGUGCUGCCAAGUAUGUAUAUUCUUUAGUUUGAAAUGAAAAUGCUUCUUUUCAAAGUUUGGGAUGGAACACAUGCACUCCCGUGUUUCAAAUUAAAACAAAUUAGAUGAUUUUCAAUUGGAAAACUAUGUCAAAGUGAAGGAGAUGGCAGUAUUGCAGAUUGGCCAUUCUCCCUUAAAAUGGCUCAUCAGUCCAGGCCAAAAGUGCAGUAAAACCAGAGAAACAUCUGUCCUUGGUCUGGUUGACGUGAAUAUGCAGGAGGCAUAUUGUAUUUUUGGACAGAACUGGUGGCUGCCUGCAAGUGUGAAAUCUGGACAAUCCCAGACCACACUGAAGUGGAAGGGCAUGCUGAUCGUCUUUCUUUUAGAUGAAAUGAAAGAGGAAUUAAAGCCUCAUUUAUUUGGUGGUAAUUGAAACAAGCCAAGACACCGCCCAAGGUGCAACACAAUAUAGGAAGGCUGGAUUGGAAGCUCAGCCAUGUGGCUAGAGGGAUUUCACUGGAAAUUGGUUGCAAAACCAGGAAACGGGGCAUUGAUUUGGUUGAAGCUUUGCAUUAGCUUGUGGGUGGAAAGAAGCACAAACCAAGCAGGCAACCAGACAGGCAGAAUAUGUGUGUGGCCCCAGAAAGGUAGCCAAGAACAAAUGACUUUUUUUUCUUUCCAACCAUGAAAAGCCCAGAAAAAGAUCUCAGAGACAGGAAGACAGCUUCUAACUAUCUUGUGCUUCUGUGUUUCAGUGGAAAAAAAAAUAAUUCUAUUUUAACAAACAGAUUUUCCCCAACUUGUAAAAACAAUGUCGACUUGAAGCAACCCUUGAACUCUGUGAACUUUGGCUUCCUGCAAGGAGCAGCCUUAUCUAACUGCAACACCAUAUAACCUACAGCACUUAAAUCAGUCUUCCAUAAAGCAGGCUAGAGUCCCAUCCCGCUGUCAAUUAGAACUCCUCUCACAAAACAGACUGAAAAAGAUGUGUAUUGCAGCCUUGGAGCAAUACAGCUUCUCCCACAAAGUUAUGAAACCUUUCUUCCUUUAGGGAUAAACAGUAAAGCAACAACUAAUUUGUAUGAAUAACCCUUUCAGCUGCUUAAAUACUUCCAGUCUGACAAAUUUUAUAGCUGUUCUGAUUUCUCUGAAUCUUCCACACCUAUUAUUUUAGUGAAAACAGUGGAUCAUGCCAUGCUUCACAUUUCCUACUGUGCUUUUUUGAAGAUUUGUGAUUUUAUAUCUUCUUCAAAAUGGUAAAAUAUUAGCCAGCUGUCCUGUAGAUGGUUCUCCAGGUAAGGCUUUUUGUCUGAUGGUCUGUGGCAUGGAAAAAUAUUCACUUGCUGACAAAGCUGUUCAGUCUGCUUAUGGCUCUUGUUGAACUGAGAAUUUGCAGAAAUGCGUAAUGGUGCAUGGACUCUGAUUUUUUCUGUGCCAACUCCAUCUCUAAAUGCAAUGCCAUUUGUGUAUAGAGCUAUCCAGAUGUGUGUCACAGCUUGAUUUCCUGAGGCUGUCUAGGGAAAUGCUUCAAGAGAAGCACUGCUCUCUACCCCAGUGACAUGAAAGAUCCCUUCAGGAUGCUAUACAAUACCAGAGCAGCAAAGCUUCAUUACAUUUGCUUUUAAUGUGUCCCUUUUCAGUUCGUUGAAAAUCCAUCCUUUCUUCUGAACAUGUUCAUGAAGCUCACAUAAAAUGCUUUUUGUCAUGUCUGACUAAACCUUUUUUAAUUUGAUGGUGGAAAUUAUGCUUCUGUACUCUUAGCUGGCUGUUUGUAAUUUGGUCUUUUUCACUGAUACAACAAAAAUAGCUCCAAUCUGAAGGUGAAAAUUCUAGCCUGCAUUUCUGUGCCAACUCUCACAGAAGAAGUCUAGCAACGCAGAGGGAUACAAACAUAUGCCUUAAUCCUCUGAAUGAACAGGUGCCUCAUAGUUAAAGACAGAUGAAUGCUUAUUUGGAAUAUUAUUUGGCAUAUCCACUAUAGGUCACUGCCUUUUACCACCCCAUUGCAAUGCUAGGCACUCAUACCCAAAGCACAGCAUGGCAGCUCCCCCAUUUUUGUCUUCUUGUGCACUGGUUUUUGCCAAGGGCUGAGUUGGGAAGGGUACAUAGCUCUUGGAAGUGGGAGGUAAACUUUGACGUGUAGGGAGAGGGGAGGAGAGGUAGAAGGAUUCAGAUCAUCAGGAGUUUGGGAUGAGCCUACAGACUGAAAUAUUAAAAACAUUUGCAAGCUGCAGAUUCCCUUGGUUUAUUUUUUUCUUCUCCUUUGCUUUUCUUUCUCCCUUUCUUUGUUUUUCUUGACAAUAUGCAGUAGAAGUGGCUUAUAACUGCACUUUGCUGUAGCUGGGAAUCAGAGUUAGUUCCACGGAAGAUUUGUGGGGCUUGCCCUGCUCUGCCAAGUCUGUGCUCUCCCUCUCGCAGUUCCUGGCCACAUCUCCUGCUGGGUGGCCCUCGAAGGACAGCCUCCAGCCAGAUGAGCACUCAAUCUGCUGACACAGGUGGGCUAGGAUGGAUGUGGAGGGCCAGAUCCAGCUGUAGGUAAGGCUGGGCUUGUUUUGAUCUGAGCUGCCAGAAGCCUAGAAGACAUUGAGCAGAGCAUGCUUGUGUAGCUGCCUUUUCACUGUUUUCUUUUAAAGCUUUAGCUUUUAUAGUUGUAAAAAUAAAGAUGACAAGCGAACUGAAAACAUUCUGGUGAUCAGAAAAUUUGUAAAGGUGCUUCCUGAAAGCCUUUAUAUUAUGGCUAUGUCAUUCAUCAAUGACACUUACUGUGACAGUUGUUAUUAAAACCAUUUUGAUUAUUGUAUGUGAUUUAGCAGCAUGGAUCAUGGAUUGAUUGCAAAAGAGCCAUUGCACAUACUUAAGAUUCAUAAUCUGCAGGGCAUGUUAUAUGCAAAAAUAAAAAAUGCUUCAAGCAAGACUGUCUAAUGAACUUACAUGUGUUUUUAGACCAUACUAUUAUCCCUCAUUAGACCAUGGAUUUAAAAUUCUGGAGAGGAAGGGUUAAACUUCCUGACAGCUGCAAAAGUUAUCACAAGACAAGUGGUACAUAUAUCAUUAAAAAAAUCCAGAAAAUCAGUUCAGCCCUUUCACAGUAGUGACUGAAGGAGAGAAGAUGGUAAUUCCUUAGUGUGAUAACGUUUGUCUUGGGAGAGUAUCAACAUGAAAUCUGUUUUUAAUCUUGUUUUCAAUUUUAACUAAAAGGAUCAAAACUAAUGAUUAAAAUAGGACCUCAAAUAACUUCUUACUUAUUACAGUAAAAAAAAAUAAGAUUAUUAACAUUCAUGAGGGCCCUACUUAGAAAACAAAAUACUUUAAAUGAGCUGAAAGAUGAAACAGCUCCUGCAAACAAUAGGUAAUACAUAAAGAAAUACAGAAUAGCAUCAAUUAGACUCAAUAACUACAAAUAUGUUGACAUAUUUAACUGCUUUUAUACAAUUUAUUAACUCCACACUCUGAAAUCAAAUGCAAACAACUGCAAAAGCAGCAGAAUGGAUAUGUCUAAGUUCAGUAAUUCUUUAACACUUGUAGCAUCAUUCUUAAUCAUAUGAGUGGAGGAAAAUAGCUUUUCAUAACUGAGGGCCUUAUUUUUCAAGUGUUGCUGUAAAGACAAUGAAGCGGUAAGCAAAGGAUACAGCUUGCCCACUUCGGAGUCUCGGCCCAACAGAAGACAGCAAUUAGUUUUAAUUAUGACUUCUAGCAUGGGUAUUAAUGUAGAGACUAGGCAUAAAAAAAUGCCCAACUACACAGCCAAACCCUAUCUGUAAAUAGUGUGGGAUUUAUGGGUGAGACUGAAUGAUUAUUUCUUGCGGUCAUCACUCCAGUGAGGCAACUGAAAAGAGCAGAUAAAGAGCAGGGAGCUUGUAUUCUGGGAUAUUAGCAGUGCAGGAAGCGUCAUAUGUUUUCUGACUUCCAAGUGUUACCUGUAUGCAGACUAGAGAAUAUAUAAAAUCCUUAAAGAGUAAAAAUGAAUAUACAUCUCCAUGUAGGUAUUAUUUUAGUGAAAGCCAUAACUUUUUCUAUGAUAAUUUAUGGCAUUCAGUCCCACUACACCAUUACUUACACACGUAAUCUAGCAGGCUGUCUUACUUGCAGUGGUUAAGACUUUUGUCAGUCUGUUAUUCACAAAUGAAUUUAUAUUCUAAGAAAACCAUUCCAAACUGCUUGCAGCCACACCUGCCAUCCCACUCAUAUAUGCCAUAUGCCAGAGUCAUGGGUAGUGUAAAGGGGUGUGUGGCACUGGUUUUGGUGGAGACCCCAUGAUCUGUCCUGGCAUGGAGCAGAGCCCGACACCUGUGCAGGAAACUAGAGAGCCAUUGAAAACUGUGAUCAGCAGUUUGGGAAGAGGAUCAGUUAUGUGGUUGAUGUGUCACCAUUUCUCUGAUAAGCCUGUGACUGUGCCACUUCAGAGGUUGUAUUGUGCCUUCAAAGUUAAUAUUUGAGUCAAACUUGUCAGUUCACAUUUACUCUGUUACCUUUUAUCUUGAUAACAGAAACAUGCACAUUUUUGUGCUGUUUAUGAAACUUUUUUAAUAUGUUUUACAUUCUUUUGAUAACAUUAUGGGCGAUUUUAAUCCUCAAGCACCUUGCUCAGUAAAGCAUUUAAAAGAAUGAAAUUACUUUUAUAUACAACCAUUAAGUGCUCCCCUCUAUUAGAGCAUUGUGGACUAGAUUUCAUGCCUACAAUAAAGCUAAUAAAGCAGGUUAUUUGAACAGGAUUUGAGAUUUUAAUUCAGAUUUAUAAUAAACAGAAGGAAAAUGGUUAAUAUGUACCGAGUACCAAAGGUUAUUGUGAUGAAAGAUAAAGACUAAGAGAGAAUUCAAGCAGCUGAGGCACUUUCCUCAUUGAAGAUGAAUUUGUGAUGCUAAAUGCAUUGAAGAUGCAUUUGUGACUGGACUCAUGCAGUCUAAACAGGAUAAUUUUUUCGAAGUCUUACACAGAAACUUUCCAUUUAUAUUGCAUUAAAUCAUUCUACAUCAAUAUCAGAGAUUUUUAAGAAUUGCAUGAUUUUUCUGUCCAUUAUCCUUUUUAAAGUAAGUCACAACACAGAGAGAAAAUCCUAUGGCAUAACUUUACCAUGAAGUAAGAAGGAUGGUGCAGUAAAAGUAAGUAGAAUUUCAACUCUCCAACAUAUUUUGUUGUUGCAGAAAUGUUUUUUUUUUUUUCUGGAAAAAUGAAAGUAGUAAUGAAUGAAAUGCAAAAUGGAAAAAAAAUCUUUCAGUUUAUUAACAGGGGAGAAACAUCUCAGAAUUAAAGAUUUGACAGCAUAGACUCAAUAUUCUUUCUUUCUUUCAGAAUCUAUAAUUAAAACUGUGGAUUUAUAACCUCAGUCCUACAAACAUAUCUCUAGAAAAUGCUAUCAAAAGACAAUGCAAUAAACUAGGAUAAUUUAUUAUCCAUUUUUAUCUGUCCCUCAGUUUAACUGUACUUUGGUGUAGAAAAUGUUACCAUUUCAGAAUUAAAAUAGUGCCACAGAACUAUAGAUAUAAUCUGUUUUAUCUUGCUUCUAGGCAGAAAACCAUCAGCAAUUGCUCCUAAAGUAUUUCAAAUUUUGUUCCAGUUGCUGACUGGCUGAUGCGGCCGAUGCAGACACCGAUGGCCGAGUUCAGACUUGAGAGAGGUGAAUAUUGUGCUAUCAGACUCAAAUGCAAUUUCCCUCACCGUACUCCAGACCCAAACUAGGUCUCAGUAAAUAAUUAAUCCUGUGGGAAACUCUAAAACUUCCAGGAUGUGAGACAUGGGUUUGGAUGUCUCCAGUUUCCUUUGAACAAUAAUCCUUCAGGAUUUAAGAGUAGCGGGAACUGUUUGGCACGACCAAAUGCAUCCUGCAGGCUGCAGAUCAUCUCCCAUAUGGGUGUAAUAGGAGGGGCCAUUUCUCAAUUUCCACAUUGGUAUUUAGGACAUAGAGAGAUAAGGAAUGUUCCCAAACAGUGCAUGCUUCCAGUAAAAUGGAAAACUUUAUCCUCUCCGGUUAUUAAGCAAACAGCACAUCUGAGUAACUCUUACCAGGAUGAUGAUGACUCUGGUGGUUGGUUCUUAUCUUUCUUUUUUUCCUGAAUAGAAAUAGGGCUAUUCUCACUAGUCUUGAUUAAUUAAACCAUGUAAAAAUGAUAAGAAAAUAGCGUUUGUUAAGAAAGAAAAGUGAAUUGAUAAAGUUCAUACAUCUGAAUCCUCUCCACUAGCAGUUAAGGCAAAUACUGUGAGGUACCUAAGUGGUUUCUGUUCCCUAGCAAUUACAAAUACUACUGUUCCUUUUUUUCAAAAUGCCUUUCUUUGAAAAUUUUGCAAUACUUACUUAAGAACCAUGUUUUCGUAAAAUAUUCCACCAGUGAAUUUUGGUACUGCUGGUAAACACAAACAUGGGGUUUUAGGGAAAAAAGUAUUUCUUCAAACACCAAGAAAUAGCCAUUGCAUCCCUCAUUUUUCCAGACAUUAUGUAUUUUUCCUUUCACUAAAGUUGACCUCAUCCAGCUCUGCACUGCAGUUACCUGGGAUAACUUUAGAGCUGCCUACACUCAAUUCUGGGUGUCUCCAGCUUUCAGGUUGGCAGAGGUGAAUAUGACUCAGCUACUUCCUGGACAGUAUAUUUUUGCUCCUUGCAAAAUAAAUAAUGCAGUAACCAUAUUAAUUCCUAUAAUUUCUUCAUUUAAGCUUUUUAUGUUCCAGUAUGUGUUUUGUAUCACAUAUUUUAUUUAUAUAUUUAUUCAAAUGGAAAGAAAGACAAUUGAGGAAAAAAAGAAUUCCCUUUUAUAGUAGCUGAACAAAGUAAAAUUACAAUAGCAUACAUGGGUAGAAUAAAAAGUACAUUCAUUUUUUAUUUUGAUUAGUAGACCAUUUGCAAGAAGAAAUAAUUUAUUAGGGUAAAAGCUAUAUCAGGUAAAAGAUCUUUCUUGGUUAAAAUUUUCUCCUGUUUUCAGACAAAAUAGUUUUCAAAGUGGAAACCUCAUCAUGUCGCUUUCUACAAAAUAUCUGAGCCAAGGGAAGGACUUUACAUAGAGUCUCCAAAUUCUUUUUCACUUUAGAAAAGACCUUUACCAUUGAUUUGAUACUCUCUUUAUGGAUGAAAACCUUAUUCAAGAAUGAGAAAUGUUUCCACUGAAAUCACUUAUCAAAUAAUAAGCCAUUAGUGUGUUUUCUUUCUGGAAGGGAUGAUGCCAAGUAAAUUACUUUCAUUAUAGGUCAAAUAUCACCAGUACCUAAGAGCCUUGGACAUAGUUUUUAAAUGCUUUGAUGGAUCUAUAUCAAUGCAUUUUCUACCACUGAGGACUUCUGAGAUCUCAGCUUAUCAAAAGAUAUUUAUUCAGCUCAGCUUGUCCAUUCAGCUCCAGUUCAGCUUCUUCUUCACAGGAGAACUUCACUGAACAGUCAAAGGACAUGGGAACAAAGAGAAGGGUUUUGUUUGUUUGCUUAUAAUUUUCCUUUGUGAGAUCCCCCAGGAGCAGGAAAGAAAAUAUUUCACAGUCUGGUAAGAUCAGAACAGCAAAAGUAUUUGCAGUAUGGCACACAAGAAAGCACUGCCUGCUUGGAAAUACUGCACUUCCAGCCAGCACCAUCCUGUGAGACUCACAGAUGAGCUCCAUAUCCUGCUGCAGACUUGCUCCGGGAGCUAAGAUUCCACUCACCUCUGGAGACUAUUGCUCCCUAGAGAGGCUUAAGAUCUGACCCACUACAGAAUAUCUAGUUAUUUUUCUAAUUUUUUCCUCUAUGAAUGGGUAGCUUUUAAAAUAGUACUUUAAAAUUUGGGUUGGUUUUCAUUCCCACUGGCAAUGCUCGUAUCCAACUAAAUUUUAUUUAUUUUACAAGUCUGUUUUCUUUAAUCUUGUCAUGGAAGAGACCACUAAUUCUCUCCUUCUGGAUGGCUGCAAUGAGACCACACACUCUCCACUCCGAGCAUCAGCAGACUGGAAAGAGAUGAAAAGACAUAAGAAGAACAAAAUACCAUUAGAAAUCCAAUGCUGUUUCCAUCUGAAUUGUUCUCUCAUGGUUCCUCACCAAGUUCCUCACCAGAAAUCUUUGGUCUCUGUGGACUGUCUAUUAUUUUUUUUUUUUUUU
Molecule: long non-coding RNA, 10569 nt
Organism: Parus major (Great Tit)
Lineage: Eukaryota; Metazoa; Chordata; Aves; Passeriformes; Paridae
Exons: 3
Source: RefSeq, a predicted model, not a curated record